UACGUAGGGACCAAGCGUUGUUCGGAUUUACUGGGCGUAAAGGGCGCGUAGGCGGCAAUUCAAGUCAGUUGUGAAAUCUCUGAGCUUAACUCAGAACGGCCAAGUGAUACUGCAGUGCUAGAGUGCAGAAGGGGCAAUCGGAAUUCUUGGUGUAGCGGUAAAAUGCGUAGAUAUCAAGAGGAACACCUGAGGUGAAGACGGGUUGCUGGGCUGACACUGACGCUGAGUGCGCGAAAGCCAGGGGAGCAAACGGG
RNAcentral lists this ribosomal RNA (254 nucleotides) under uncultured bacterium. RNAcentral's name for it is "partial 16S ribosomal RNA". It matches the Rfam family "Bacterial small subunit ribosomal RNA", at positions 524 to 776 of the family's 1533-position model. The record is from RNAcentral.